UGAGAUUUGAUCCUGGCUCAGGACGAACGCUGGCGGCGUGCUUAACACAUGCAAGUCGAACGAUGAAGCCCUUCGGGGUGGAUUAGUGGCGAACGGGUGAGUAACACGUGGGCAAUCUGCCCUUCACUCUGGGACAAGCCCUGGAAACGGGGUCUAAUACCGGAUAAUACUCCUGCCUGCAUGGGCGGGGGUUGAAAGCUCCGGCGGUGAAGGAUGAGCCCGCGGCCUAUCAGCUUGUUGGUGGGGUAAUGGCCCACCAAGGCGACGACGGGUAGCCGGCCUGAGAGGGCGACCGGCCACACUGGGACUGAGACACGGCCCAGACUCCUACGGGAGGCAGCAGUGGGGAAUAUUGCACAAUGGGCGAAAGCCUGAUGCAGCGACGCCGCGUGAGGGAUGACGGCCUUCGGGUUGUAAACCUCUUUCAGCAGGGAAGAAG
RNAcentral lists this ribosomal RNA (439 nucleotides) under Streptomyces sp. 218-4.1-LH-Heh(s)-13. Its description in RNAcentral is "bacterial SSU rRNA". It matches the Rfam family "Bacterial small subunit ribosomal RNA", at positions 1 to 450 of the family's 1533-position model. The record is from RNAcentral. Lineage: Bacteria; Bacillati; Actinomycetota; Actinomycetes; Kitasatosporales; Streptomycetaceae.